UCCUGAGGACCUCAAGCCCUGGGGACAGAGCUGGUCAGGGGGACACGGUCACACAGCAGACUUGAGCCUCGUCAAAGGAGGCAGAGCGCAGGAAGGCACAGACUCUGCAAAGGAAGAUGCCUCAUGUGGUGACCCCUUGGGGUCAUGCUCAUGGAUGGAGUCAGUGUGCUGGGCACAUGGCAGGGACCAGAGAUCACCUGCUGAAUGAAGAAGAAGUGAGUGAAUGAGGGAGUGAAUGGGAGAGGGAGUGAAGAAGUGAAUGAUGGAGGUAAAGUCCACACAGCAGGGGAAUUUUUUUGGGCUGAGGUCAGAGGGUGUAACAGCCUGGGCCCUCUAAGGUGGCACAGGGUAUGUCCUGCUCUCCUCCCAUGGCUGGCCUUCCUUCGUGUAGCACCUGAUGACAUCCGGGAUCAUCUCCAUCUCCUCAGACAAUACUGAAUGUUCCCAGAGGUGGGAACCAGGCAGAGACCUGAGCAGGGUCUUCCAGGAGUGCCCUGCCUUAGAGCAUCAUGUGGCAACCUGCCAGGUGGCUCUUUAUGUCUUGUAGGCACCAGGCAAUGAUUCCACCUCAUCUCUCAGAGAAUCCAACAGACAACCCAUCAAGAAGGCCAAGUUAGGUCCUCCAGUCACAGAUGUGGAAACUAAGGCUAAUAGCACAAUCUGGGUUCACUAGUAAAACAAGCUAGGAAAGUCCCACAUCUCUGACAACUGCUCCCCAUGGAGGUCGCCUCCCUUUGGACCUGCAUGUGUUUGCUCUUCAUCCCAGGAACACAUGGACUUUGGAGUGUUUUGGGAAGAGAGGCCUGGGAAACGUUUCUCUGGAGUUGGGUUGUGAGUAACCUUUUUCCCCUCUGUGGUGUCACUGUCCAGCUUUCUGCAUUUCCUUCUUUAUGUUUUCACCAAAGGGGCAAAAACCAUGUCUUCUCUGGCAUCAGGCUGUGGUGUCACAGAAGGAACAGGGGCCUCUACCCCAAGGUUAUGACCAGUUUUACCAAAGGGGUCUAAUUUUUUCACAUCCAACUUUUAAUCCUUUGGGGAUUUCAAUAUCAAAUGAGAAAAAUUCUGUUUCAAAUAAACACAAAAUACAAAAAUUAA
Long non-coding RNA from Panthera uncia (snow leopard), 1095 nucleotides. RefSeq lists it as uncharacterized. The transcript has 2 exons. The record is from RefSeq and is a predicted model, not a curated record. Lineage: Eukaryota; Metazoa; Chordata; Mammalia; Carnivora; Felidae.